UACGUAGGAGGCGAGCGUUGUCCGGAGUUACUGGGCGUAAAGCGCACGCAGGCGGUCAGAUCAGUCUGGAGUGACAGUCGUCGGCUUAACCGACGAAGUGUUCUGGAAACUGUCUGACUUGAGGGCUUCAGAGGGACACGGAAUUCCGGGUGGAGUGGUGAAAUGCGUAGAUAUCCGGAGGAACACCAAUGGCGAAGGCAGUGUCCUGGGAAGUACCUGACGCUCAGG
This 228-nucleotide ribosomal RNA is filed under the name uncultured bacterium. RNAcentral describes it as "partial 16S ribosomal RNA". It matches the Rfam family "Bacterial small subunit ribosomal RNA", at positions 524 to 751 of the family's 1533-position model. The record is from RNAcentral.